AGUUCCUUAGUGUAGUGGUUUAUCACAUCUCCUUUACAGCAUCUUCAACAUACGCGGAGAAGGUCAUGGGUUCGAUCCCCAUAGGAACUA
This is a non-coding RNA of Exophiala spinifera, 90 nucleotides long. The record is from the annotation of a RefSeq genome assembly. Lineage: Eukaryota; Fungi; Ascomycota; Eurotiomycetes; Chaetothyriales; Herpotrichiellaceae.